Non-coding RNA from Nelumbo nucifera (sacred lotus), 2637 nucleotides. NCBI's taxonomy places the organism in Eukaryota, Viridiplantae, Streptophyta, Magnoliopsida, Proteales, Nelumbonaceae. The record is from RefSeq and is a predicted model, not a curated record.
UUUUAAAAUAAAUAAGCAAAAAUAGCUUUGUCCCGGUACAUGGCCCGAUUUGGGCCAAGGCUUGGCCCAUGGGCCAACCCGACCCUCAGCACGACACAGACCCACGCGGGCAUGGGUCAUGGGCCGUGUCAGGCCGACCCCCAAAAUUUUCACUGGAGAAGGUAGCACAGCCCAUAACAACCCAUGGGCCAACACAACACAACCCGCACUGCAGACCACGAGAAACAAGAAGUAUGAAGAAUUCAAUUGGAUGACUUUUUAUAGAAGGGGUAGAUGAUCACUUCAUCGUUGAGAUAAUUAAAGUUCUUGGUUAAAAUGUCCUUCAAUCCACAUAAAACUUAUAACAUCAGAAAUCUAAUCGAAUAUUUGAUUUAUAAAUCUAAUUGAAAUGCCCAUGUAUGUGCAUCGGGAGAUAACUGGCAAAUUUUGUUGGAAUCAUAUCGCCAUCCAUCAUGGUAGAGAAAAAGGGAGUGAUGGGACUCCCGGUGUUAAAAUUAGAACUAAUUUUUUAUUUAAUAGUGACUCCAUAAUAAGGCAAUCUCGAUAAGUUGGAGAGGAGAGAGGGAAGGUGUUAGACACCCUCUCUCUCAUUGAUGCAAAUGACAUUCCCCAAAAGUGUGGUAGACCUUUCGAUAAAUGCAAUAACUCAUUGCCUAUGGAUAUGAACUGUCUUAGAGAUGUUCUGGACUAUGGUGAGCUAAACUUUAAAUGUGCAAGAACUCACUUUCGGUGAGCAUGAACCAAAUCUGAGAGCCUCUUCGACUCUAGUAAAUUUUCUAAAUAUACAAGAACUCACUUUUGGUGAGUAUGAACCAAGUUCGAGAGCCUCUUCGAACUCUAGUAAACUUUCUAAAUGUGCAAGAAUAAGUACAUUUAAUGUGCAAUCAUUAAAAUUUUCUCAUAUUGUAAAUCCUUUUUAUUUUCUAUAUAUAUAUAUAUAUAUUGAGAAGUCUAGCACCAGAUUCAGUAGUGACACAUGUUUUGCACUAUUUGGUUUUCUAUUUUCUAUAUGAUGAUGCGCAUUUUGGUAAUUCCUAGUUGAAAGGUGGCUCGGACGCUUAGCUGAACAGUUCCUAGUUGGAAGGUGGCUUGGAUGCCUAACUGAACAAUUUCUAGCUGGAAGGUGGCUCGGACGCUUAGCUGAACAGUUCCUAGUUGGAAGGUGGCUUGGAUGCCUAACUGAACAAUUUCUAGCUGGAAGGUGGCUCGGACGCUUAGCUGAACAGUUCCUAACUGGAAGAUGGCUCGGAUGUCUAAUUGAAUAAUGACGUGAUAUAUAAUUUAUUGGGGCGACCUGCAAAGAAACAAUGUCAAAGUGCCUGGGUUUCUUUAUCCAGGGUGGGCACUCCGAUGCUUAAGUCAACGAGUUAGAGAUUUUUUAGAGAGCUAAAAGCAAGAGAGAUAUAGAGCUAUGAGAGCUAAAUUGCGCAUUCCUUCUGAGAUUGGAGGUAAGGCCCUUAUAUAGGCAUUGUUUGGCGUGGGCUUCAUGCAUCGCGUCCUAGAUCUCCGGGAAGACGUGCCUAAUCAGUCCGAAGUCCUCAGAGGUAGUCAUGCACGUAGACCAGUCUUUGCGCCUUAUUUAGUUUCCUCCAGAACAUUUGGUGUGGGAGCCAACAUCCGAGAGACCUGAGAGUGAUGGGAUGCAUGCAGAAUUGGUCGGCAAGCACGUCUCAUAUGUUGCCACUUGGACCUCAAUUAGGUUGCCAAUCCCUCAAGGAAGGUCACUCCUUACAUCAAGGUCACUUCGGCCCUAGACAAGGUGUUGCUAGCGCCCUGAGUUGUUGACGAGGUUGCCAGCUAGGUUUCUACCAAGUCAGCGGAGGUAGGUCGCCAGGUCGCGGAGGCAGGUUGCUAGGUCGGUGGAGGCAGGUCGUCAGGUCAGUGGCGGAGGCAGGUCGCCAGGUCGACAGAGGUAGGUUGCCAGGUUGGCGGCGGUAGGUCAUCAGGUCGGAAGAGGCAGGUCACCAGGUCGGUGGAGGCAAGUCGACAACGAAGGCAGGUUGCCAGGUCGGCAGAGGUAGGUCGCCAACUGAGAUUCCAUCAUUUUGGCUAAGGAAAAUCAUCGCCUAGGUGGUGUCGGGAUGUCAUCCAACUAUUCUGAAAUACCAUGUGUGAUGAUGUCAAUGAAAGGCCAAAUCUGCCCUCAUCAGUAUAGACACUAAGUUGAAUUCAGAGAAGAAAAUAGAGAAGAGACAAGCACACUGCAGAACCAAAUAAGGAUUCAGGCUUCCUUGUUCAUCACCCAGAAUUCAGACUGGAAUCCAAUAAAUGGGGCGUUACUGGGAUUCCCCUUCUUCACGCCUUUUUUUGGAACCUGCCACUACUCGAGAAUGUCUAGAGGGACCUAGGUUAGAUUGGCUGUGAACAGGGAAAGGCCUGAAGACUGAACCAGAGAAUGCAAGGGGAUGCAACUAAAUAAUGAUCUAAAGUUCGAACUAGAGAAUACAAGGGAUGAAUUGCAGUUCAGUCUGACCUCCUUCAGGCCAAAAUCCGAUGAAUGGGGUGGUAAUGGGGGUUCCCCCUUCACAUCUUUCUCGUAAUCAGUUCCUACAUUAGAGGGGAAAUGGAUAGCAUUGCCUGCAGGAGCCCCCUCUUAUUCUCCGUUCAGAACUUCCACCAAAAAAACUAAAAAAAAAA